Molecule: ribosomal RNA, 460 nt
Filed under: uncultured bacterium
Lineage: Bacteria
Description: partial 16S ribosomal RNA
Rfam family: Bacterial small subunit ribosomal RNA
Source: RNAcentral
CCUACGGGAGACAGCAGUGAGGAAUAUUGGUCAAUGGACGCAAGUCUGAACCAGCCAUGCCGCGUGCAGGAAGACGGCUCUAUGAGUUGUAAACUGCUUUUGUACGAGGGUAAAUCCCGAUACGUGUAUCGUGUUGAAAGUAUCGUACGAAUAAGGAUCGGCUAACUCCGUGCCAGCAGCCGCGGUAAUACGGAGGAUUCAAGCGUUAUCCGGCUUUAUUGGGUUUAAAGGGUGCGUAGGCGGGUCGAUAAGUUAGAGGUGAAAUCCCGGGGCUCAACUCCGGCACUGCCUCUGAUACUGUCGGGCUAGAGUUUAGUUGCGGUAGGCGGAAUGUAUGGUGUAGCGGUGAAAUGCAUAGAGAUCAUACAGAACACCGAUUGCGAAGGCAGCUUACCAAACUACGACUGACGUUGAGGCACGAAAGCGUGGGGAGCAAACAGGAUUAGAUACCCGAGUAGUC